AUUGAACGCUGGCGGCAGGCCUAACACAUGCAAGUCGAACGAGUGGCGGACGGGUGAGUAAUGUCUGGGAAACUGCCCGAUGGAGGGGGAUAACUACUGGAAACGGUAGCUAAUACCGCAUACCAUCGGAUGAGCCCAGAUGGGAUUAGCUAGUUGGGGGGGUAACGGCUCACCAAGGCGACGAUCCCUAGCUGGUCUGAGAGGAUGACCAGCCACACUGGGACUGAGACACGGCCCAGACUCCUACGUGAGGCAGCAGUGGGGAAUAUUGCACAAGGGGCGCAAGCCUGAUGCAGCCAUGCCGCGUGUAUGAAGAAGGCCUUCGGGUUGUAAAGUACUUUCAGCGGGGAGGCGUUACCUGCAGAAGAAGCACCGGCUAACUCCGUGCCAGCCGCCGCGGUAAUAC
RNAcentral lists this ribosomal RNA (406 nucleotides) under uncultured bacterium. RNAcentral's name for it is "partial 16S ribosomal RNA". It matches the Rfam family "Bacterial small subunit ribosomal RNA", at positions 30 to 526 of the family's 1533-position model. The record is from RNAcentral.